GGAGAGGUGGCUGAGUGGUCGAAGGCGCUCGCCUGGAGAGCGAGUGGGCGGUAUAAAAGCCGCCCCGAGGGUUCAAAUCCCUCCCUCUCCGCCA
RNAcentral lists this transfer RNA (94 nucleotides) under Thermanaerovibrio acidaminovorans DSM 6589. Its description in RNAcentral is "tRNA-Ser (GGA) (tRNA-Ser-GGA-1-1)". It matches the Rfam family "tRNA". Rfam says of the family: Transfer RNA (tRNA) molecules are approximately 80 nucleotides in length. Their secondary structure includes four short double-helical elements and three loops (D, anti-codon, and T loops). RNAcentral also lists the same sequence under 2 other names. Lineage: Bacteria; Thermotogati; Synergistota; Synergistia; Synergistales; Synergistaceae. The record is from RNAcentral.